CGCUGGCGGGUGCCUAAUACAUGCAAGUCGAACGAACUCUGUAUUGAUUGGUGUUGCAUCAUGAUUUACAUUUGAGUGAGUGGCGAACUGGUGAGUAACACGUGGGAAACCUGCCCAGAAGCGGGGGAUAACACCUGAAACGAUGCUAAUACCGCAUAACAACUUGGACCCAUGGUCCGAGUUUGAAAGAUGGCUUCGGCUAUCACUUGGAUGGUCCCGCGGCGUAUUAGCUAGAUGGUGGGGUAACGGCUCACCAUGGCAAUGAUACGUAGCCGACCUGAGAGGGUAAUCGCCACAUUGGGACUGAGACACGGCCCAAACUCCUACGGGAGGCAGCAGUAGGGAAUCUUCCACAAUGGACGAAAGUCUGAUGGAGCAACGCCGCGUGAGUGAAGAAGGGUUCGGCUCGUAAAACUCUGUGUUAAAGAGAACAUAUCUGAGAGUAACUGUUCAGGUAUUGACGGUAUUUAACCAGAAAGCCACGGCUAACUACGUGCCAGCAGCCGCGGUAAUACGUAGGUGCAAGCGUGUCCGGAUUUAUGGGCGUAAAGCGAGCGCAGGCGGUAAGUCUGAUGUGAAAGCCUUCGGCUCAACCGAAAAGUGCAUCGGAAACUGGGAAACUUGAGUGCAGAAGAGGACAGUGGAACUCCAUGUGUAGCGGUGAAAUGCGUAGAUAUAUGGAAGAACACCAGUGGCGAAGGCGGCUGUCUGGUCUGUAACUGACGCUGAGGCUCGAAAGUAUGGGUAGCAAACAGGAUUAGAUACCCUGGUAGUCCAUACCGUAAACGAUGAAUGCUAAGUGUUGGAGGGUUCCGCCCUUCAGUGCUGCAGCUAACGCAUUAAGCAUUCCGCCUGGGGAUACGGCCGCAAGGCUGAAACUCAAAGGAAUUGACGGGGGCCCGCACAAGCGGUGGAGCAUGUGGUUUAAUUCGAAGCUACGCGAAGAACCUUACCAGGUCUUGACAUCUAUGCAAAUCUAAGAGAUUAGACGUUCCCUCGGGGACAUGGAUACAGGUGGUGCAUGGUUGUCGUCAGCUCGUGUCGUGAGAUGUUGGGUUAAGUCCCGCAACGAGCGCAACCCUUAUUAUCAGUUGCCAGCAUUAAGUUGGGCACUCUGGUGAGACUGCCGGUGACAACCGGAGGAAGGUGGGGAUGACGUCAAAUCAUCAUGCCCCUUAUGACCUGGGCUACACACGUGCUACAAUGGAUGGUACAACGAGUUGCGAACUCGCGAGAGUAAGCUAAUCUCUUAAAGCCAUUCUCAGUUCGGAUUGUAGGCUGCAACUCGCCUACAUGAAGUCGGAAUCGCUAGUAAUCGCGGAUCAGCAUGCCGCGGUGAAUACGUUCCGGGCCUUGUACACACCGCCCGUCACACCAUGAGAGUUGUAACACCCAAAGUCGGUGGGGUAACCUUAGGAACCAGCCGCCUAAGGUGGGACAGAUGAUUAGG
This 1450-nucleotide ribosomal RNA is filed under the name Lactiplantibacillus pentosus. RNAcentral's name for it is "bacterial SSU rRNA". It matches the Rfam family "Bacterial small subunit ribosomal RNA". Lineage: Bacteria; Bacillati; Bacillota; Bacilli; Lactobacillales; Lactobacillaceae. The record is from RNAcentral.